This 253-nucleotide ribosomal RNA is filed under the name uncultured bacterium. RNAcentral's name for it is "partial 16S ribosomal RNA". It matches the Rfam family "Bacterial small subunit ribosomal RNA", at positions 524 to 776 of the family's 1533-position model. The record is from RNAcentral.
UACGUAGGGUGCAAGCGUUGUCCGGAAUUAUUGGGCGUAAAGAGCUUGUAGGUGGUUUGUCGCGUCCGCUGUGAAAUUUCGAGGCUCAACCUCGAACUUGCAGUGGGUACGGGCAGACUAGAGUGUGGUAGGGGAGACUGGAAUUCCUGGUGUAGCGGUGAAAUGCGCAGAUAUCAGGAGGAACACCGAUGGCGAAGGCAGGUCUCUGGGCCAUAACUGACACUGAGAAGCGAAAGCAUGGGGAGCGAACAGG